CAGGAUGCUGACCUCCAAGAAAAGGGAUUUAGCCUAGAAGAUGAGACUGUUGGCUCUACUGUACCUAGUGACAGCCCUUUAUGGUUUCCUAUCCCAGAUCCAACUUCAGGAGUCAGGACCUGGCCUGGUUCAGUCAUCACAAUCACUGUCCCUCACUUGCUCUGUAUCUGAUUACUCCAUCACCAGUGGAAAUAGCUACUGGCACUGGGUCAGGCAGUCUCCAGAGAAGAAGCUGGAGUGGAUGGGGUACAUAACCUAUGGUGGUGGCAUCAACUACAACCCAUCCCUCAAGAGCCACAUCUCCACCACCAGAGAAACAUCCAAGAACAAUUUCUUCCUGCAUCUGAACUCUGUGACCAAUGAGGACACAGCCACAUAUUACUGUGCAAGAGACACAGUGAGGGGAUUUUAG
Mesocricetus auratus (golden hamster) is the source of this 412-nucleotide non-coding RNA. NCBI's taxonomy places the organism in Eukaryota, Metazoa, Chordata, Mammalia, Rodentia, Cricetidae. The record is from the annotation of a RefSeq genome assembly.